RNAcentral lists this non-coding RNA (126 nucleotides) under Verminephrobacter eiseniae. RNAcentral describes it as "TPP sequence". It matches the Rfam family "TPP riboswitch aptamer (THI element)". From Rfam's summary of the family: Vitamin B(1) in its active form thiamin pyrophosphate (TPP) is an essential coenzyme that is synthesised by coupling of pyrimidine and thiazole moieties in bacteria. The previously detected thiamin-regulatory element, thi box was extended, resulting in a new, highly conserved RNA secondary structure, the THI element, which is widely distributed in eubacteria and also occurs in some archaea. RNAcentral also lists the same sequence under 1 other name. Lineage: Bacteria; Pseudomonadati; Pseudomonadota; Betaproteobacteria; Burkholderiales; Comamonadaceae. The record is from RNAcentral.
GCCGCUGCUCCGGGGUGCGCGCAAGCGCUGAGAUGCGAGGCGAUGCCGAAGAAAUUCGGCUGGCCUGGCGAACCCGACGAACUUGAUCCGGUUCAUACCGGCGGAAGAAGAGCCGACCUCCUUGCC